Brienomyrus brachyistius is the source of this 128-nucleotide long non-coding RNA. RefSeq lists it as uncharacterized. Lineage: Eukaryota; Metazoa; Chordata; Actinopteri; Osteoglossiformes; Mormyridae. The record is from RefSeq and is a predicted model, not a curated record. The transcript has 3 exons.
CGCCUUCGGGUCGGGGAUAGGUCUCUGACCGUCAUCUGCGCCUUCGGGUCGGGGAUAGGUCUCUGACCGUCUCCCUCCGCCUCCGGGUCGGGGAUAGGCUGCUGUCAUCCUGUUGGCUUCAUCUGCUG